GCUCGGGUGGCGGAAUGGUAUACGCUGACGACUUAAAAUCGUCUGCCGCAAGGCAUGUGGGUUCGACUCCCACCCCGAGCACCA
RNAcentral lists this transfer RNA (84 nucleotides) under Candidatus Liptonbacteria bacterium. RNAcentral's name for it is "tRNA-Leu". It matches the Rfam family "tRNA". From Rfam's summary of the family: Transfer RNA (tRNA) molecules are approximately 80 nucleotides in length. Their secondary structure includes four short double-helical elements and three loops (D, anti-codon, and T loops). The record is from RNAcentral. Lineage: Bacteria; Candidatus Liptoniibacteriota.